RNAcentral lists this ribosomal RNA (117 nucleotides) under Paenibacillus zeisoli. RNAcentral also lists the same sequence under 1 other name. Lineage: Bacteria; Bacillati; Bacillota; Bacilli; Caryophanales; Paenibacillaceae. The record is from RNAcentral.
UUUGGUGGCGAUGGCGGAGGGGUUCCACGCGUACCCAUCCCGAACACGACCGUUAAGCCCUCCAGCGCCGAUGGUACUUGGACCGCAGGGUCCUGGGAGAGUAGGACGCCGCCAAGC